AGAGUUUGAUUCUGGCUCAGGACGAACGCUGGCGGCGUGCCUAACACAUGCAAGUCCAACGAGAAAGUCUCCUUCGGGAGACCGGUAAAGUGGCGGACGGGUGAGUAACGCGUGGGAAUCUACCCGGUAGUGGGGGAUAACCCCCCGAAAGGGGAGCUAAUACCGCAUAAGCCCCAAGGGGUAAAGAUGGCCUCUUUCUAAUGCUAUCGCUUCCGGAUGAGCCCGCGUCCUAUUAGCUAGUUGAUGAGGUAAUGGCCUACCAAGGCAACGAUCAGUAGCCGGCCUGAGAGGGUGGACGGCCACACUGGGACUGAGACACGGCCCAGACUCCUACGGGAGGCAGCAGUGGGGAAUAUUGCGCAAUGGGGGAAACCCUGACGCAGCGACGCCGCGUGAGCGAAGAAGGCCUUAGGGUCGUAAAGCUCUGUUUUAAGGGACGAAUAUCUUCAGUAGUAACUGACUGAGGAAUGACGGUACCUUAAGAGAAAGCCCCGGCUAACUACGUGCCAGCAGCCGCGGUAAGACGUAGGGGGCGAGCGUUGUCCGGAAUUACUGGGCGUAAAGAGCACGUAGGCGGGAUUUUAAGUCAGGUGUGAAAGACCGUGGCUCAACCACGGGGUUGCACAUGAAACUGGAAUUCUCGAGGGCAGGAGAGGAAAGUGGAAUUCCUGGUGUAGCGGUGAAAUGCGUAGAAAUCAGGAGGAACACCGGUGGCGAAGGCGACUUUCUGGACUGACCCUGACGCUGAGGUGCGAAAGCGUGGGUAGCAAACAGAAGUAGAUACCCUGGUAGUCCACGCUGUAA
This 804-nucleotide ribosomal RNA is filed under the name uncultured bacterium. Its description in RNAcentral is "bacterial SSU rRNA". It matches the Rfam family "Bacterial small subunit ribosomal RNA", at positions 8 to 805 of the family's 1533-position model. The record is from RNAcentral.